This 500-nucleotide ribosomal RNA is filed under the name uncultured Glomeromycotina. RNAcentral's name for it is "partial small subunit ribosomal RNA". It matches the Rfam family "Eukaryotic small subunit ribosomal RNA", at positions 591 to 1092 of the family's 1831-position model. The record is from RNAcentral. Lineage: Eukaryota; Fungi; Glomeromycota.
CCAAUAGCGUAUAUUAAAGUUGUUGCAGUUAAAAAGCUCGUAGUUGAAUUUCGGGGUUAGUAGGCUGGUCAUGCCUCUGGUAUGUACUGGUCUCACUGAUUCCUCCUUCCUGAUGAGCUGUAAUGCCAUUAAUUUGGUGUUGCAGGGAAUCUGGACUGUUACUUUGAAAAAAUUAGAGUGUUUAAAGCAGGCUAACGCUUGAAUACAUUAGCAUGGAAUAAUGAAAUAGGACGUUCGAUCCUAUUUUGUUGGUUUCUAGGAUUGACGUAAUGAUUAAUAGGGAUAGUUGGGGGCAUUAGUAUUCAAUUGUCAGAGGUGAAAUUCUUGGAUUUAUUGAAGACUAACUACUGCGAAAGCAUUUGCCAAGGAUGUUUUCAUUAAUCAAGAACGAAAGUUAGGGGAUCGAAGACGAUCAGAUACCGUCGUAGUCUUAACCAUAAACUAUGCCGACUAGGGAUCGGAUGAUGUUAAUUUUUUAAUGACUCAUUCGGCGCCUUACG